RNAcentral lists this microRNA precursor (74 nucleotides) under Cricetulus griseus (Chinese hamster). Its description in RNAcentral is "miRNA (ENSCGRG00000021297.1)". Lineage: Eukaryota; Metazoa; Chordata; Mammalia; Rodentia; Cricetidae. The record is from RNAcentral.
GGAUCGGGUCCGGGUCCGGGUGCAGGAUCGGGUCAGGGUCCGGGUCCUGGAUCUGGUCCUGGUCCGGGUCCAGG